Molecule: ribosomal RNA, 306 nt
Filed under: Triticum aestivum (bread wheat)
Lineage: Eukaryota; Viridiplantae; Streptophyta; Magnoliopsida; Poales; Poaceae
Description: partial small subunit ribosomal RNA
Source: RNAcentral
AUGAUCGCCGGCUGCACCAGAAGAUUUCGAAGAUACUCUCCGAUAUUCUGUCGAGACUUUGUGCCCGUUGCCUUUGCAAUUCCCUGCCACGGAAAAUCCCUAUGGAUAAAUACUUACACCUGUCAUUCUUACUUUGAUUCACAUUUGAUCUUGUUAUUACAAGAUACCUCGAGAAUACUUUGUCCCUACUGCCUUGCAGUUCUUUGCCACCUGAAUACCCCUACAAAUAAUUUCUCGCACUUAUCGAGUAUCUGCUCAUCCCCAGUUGAUUCAAGUAAUUCACAAAAUCUUCGAAAUACUAUUUGA